GUUCAUUAUAGAUAGAGAUAAUUGUAAGCAGCAAGAAUGUUCAGUAAAGUAAGAUCUACAAACACAUCACCAUCACCAAACCACAAUUUUGUCUUGAAUCCAUCUGUGUCCUUUGUUAAGUAUUCACAUAGACCAAGGUGAGCGACACAGGCUCUUUAGAGCCUCUAGUUGAUAGCUGUAAUAAUUUCGUCAUGGGUAAAUACACCAUUCAGUGUCUCAUUUACAAGAUUUGAGUUCAAAUCAUUACUGAUGACAAACUUGU
RNAcentral lists this long non-coding RNA (262 nucleotides) under Mytilus galloprovincialis (Mediterranean mussel). Lineage: Eukaryota; Metazoa; Mollusca; Bivalvia; Mytilida; Mytilidae. The record is from RNAcentral.